UACGGAGGGGGCAAGCGUUGUUCGGAAUUACUGGGCGUAAAGGGCGCGCAGGCGGCUGCUCAAGUCAGGCGUGAAAGGCCUGGGCUCAACCCGGGAAUUGCGCUUGAGACUGGGCUGGCUUGAGUGCGGAAGAGGCGAGUGGAAUUCCUGGUGUAGCGGUGAAAUGCGCAGAUAUCAGGAGGAACACCGAUAGUGAAGGCAGCUCGCUGGGACGGUACUGACGCUGAGGCGCGAAAGCGUGGGGAGCGAACAGG
Molecule: ribosomal RNA, 254 nt
Filed under: uncultured bacterium
Lineage: Bacteria
Description: partial 16S ribosomal RNA
Rfam family: Bacterial small subunit ribosomal RNA
Source: RNAcentral